RNAcentral lists this ribosomal RNA (291 nucleotides) under uncultured microorganism. Its description in RNAcentral is "partial 16S ribosomal RNA". It matches the Rfam family "Bacterial small subunit ribosomal RNA", at positions 505 to 796 of the family's 1533-position model. The record is from RNAcentral.
GUGCCAGCAGCCGCGGUAAUACGUAGGGUGCGAGCGUUAAUCGGAAUUACUGGGCGUAAAGGGUGCGCAGGCGGCCAUGUAAGACAGGUGUGAAAUCCCCGGGCUUAACCUGGGAAUUGCGCUUGUGACUGCAUGGCUAGAGUACGGCAGAGGAGGGUGGAAUUCCACGUGUAGCAGUGAAAUGCGUAGAGAUGUGGAGGAACACCGAUGGCGAAAGCAGCCCUCUGGGCCGAAACUGACGCUCAUGCACGAAAGCGUGGGUAGCAAACAGGAUUAGAUACCCUGUAGUCC